UAUCCGAUAAUUCUGCGGAUAAAGGUGCCUUUGCGCUGCCGCAGAUGGAUGAGCCUGCGUUGGAUUAGCUAGUUGGUGGGGUAAGGGCCUACCAAGGCUACGAUCCAUAGCUGAUUUGAGAGGAUGAUCAGCCACAUUGGGACUGAGACACGGCCCAAACUCCUACGGGAGGCAGCAGUGGGGAAUAUUGGACAAUGGGGGAAACCCUGAUCCAGCAAUGCCAUGUGUGUGAAGAAGGCUCUAGGGUUGUAAAGCACUUUAGUUGGGGAGGAAAGCCUGUGAGUUAAUAGCUUGCAGGAAGGACGUUGCCCAAAGAAUAAGGACCGGCUAACUCCGUGCCAGCAGCCGCGGUAAUACGGGGGGUCCGAGCGUUAAUCGGAAUUACUGGGCGUAAAGGGUCUGUAGGUGGUUUGUUAAGUCAGAUGUGAAAGCCCAGGGCUCAACCUUGGAACUGCAUUUGAUACUGACAAACUAGAGUAUGGUAGAGGAAUAGGGAACUUCUGGUGUAGCGGUGAAAUGCGUAGAGAUCAGAAGGAACACCAAUGGCGAAGGCAACAUUCUGGACCAAUACUGACACUGAGGGACGAAAGCGUGGGGAUCAAACAGGAUUAGAUACCCUGGUAGUCCACGCUGUAAACGAUGAGUACUAGCUGUUGGAUUCGGUGUAAAGGAUCUAGUGGCGCAGCUAACGCGUUAAGUACUCCGCCUGGGGACUACGGCCGCAAGGCUAAAACUCAAAGGAAUUGACGGGGACCCGCACAAGCGGUGGAGCAUGUGGUUUAAUUCGAUGCAACGCGAAGAACCUUACCUGGUCUUGACAUCCUGCGAACUUUCUAGAGAUAGAUUGGUGCCUUCGGGAACGCAGUGACAGGUGCUGCACGGCUGUCGUCAGCUCGUGUUGUGAAAUGUUGGGUUAAGUCCCGCAACGAGCGCAACCCCUAUUGAUAGUUACCAUCAUUAAGUUGGGUACUCUAUUGAGACUGCCGCUGACAAGGCGGAAGGAAGGUUGGGGACGACGUCAAGUCAUCAUGGCCCUUACGACCAGGGCUACACACGUGCUACAAUGGGUA
This 1070-nucleotide ribosomal RNA is filed under the name Francisella orientalis. RNAcentral's name for it is "bacterial SSU rRNA". It matches the Rfam family "Bacterial small subunit ribosomal RNA", at positions 167 to 1236 of the family's 1533-position model. The record is from RNAcentral. Lineage: Bacteria; Pseudomonadati; Pseudomonadota; Gammaproteobacteria; Thiotrichales; Francisellaceae.